Molecule: long non-coding RNA, 3872 nt
Organism: Lepidothrix coronata (blue-crowned manakin)
Lineage: Eukaryota; Metazoa; Chordata; Aves; Passeriformes; Pipridae
Exons: 4
Source: RefSeq, a predicted model, not a curated record
CAAGAGAUUGGUUGCUGUUCUUGACAUAAGAUUUUACUAGAAAGCUGCAUUUUAAAUUUUCUGAAAUGCAAGAAUAAAAUGUCACCUGACUCUUCAGCAGUUUAAGACACAGUCCCUUUUCAGUGCACUUUCCCAGUAAAUAUUGAAGAGAAUUUUGGUGGCUGUUGUGUCACGACUCUAAAAAUGCUUCCUGUCAAGUCAUAGUAAAAUGUGUCUCUCAGUACCUCCACAGGUCCCUUUCCCAGUGUUUGUGAUGGUUUGUGACUCCACAGAACCUGGAGUGGGAAAGGGGUAGGGUGAAGUACCUGCUGUGGGUGGGGCUGUCACUGCUGGGGGCACUGGAGGAAGCUCAGCUGUUGUUUGUGUCCCUCCUCUGCUCCUGCCAGGCUGGAUGUGAUGGACAAAUGGUGCUUGAGCAAGGGGAGUUCACAGACUGUGCAAGGGUUGUUCUGGAAUGGCAGUUGUUUGGUGCAGUUUUAUUGGAGUGACAGACUGACAGGUGCAGUUAAAAAAUUAUUCGUGUCUUGAUCAUCUGUGUUUUUCUAUUUUCAGGUUUCAAAUGCCCACAAUUACUAAAAUAGAAAACAGGGAAGAAGAGCAGCACAACACUCUGGAGGUGAGGGUGAGUUACCUGGGUGUGGUCUGUGUGACUCCAGAGCUGUCAGGAACUUCUGAACCAGGGCUCUCUCUGGCUUUUAUUUCACAGCUGAGGGAGAGAAACUUCCUUGUUACAGAAAGGUCAGUCACAAAAACCAGAAGACAAUUUUCUCCUGCUCUUCAGUGCAAAACCAGACUCUGUUCAGACAGUGAGAGGUUAUCUAAUAACACUGCUGAUAAAGACAGUCAAAUAGGACAGACUGUGUAUUGUUGGAAAUAUGUGAAGUAAAUGCUGUCUGAUUUUUCUAAUUUGUUCCUGAAAAAAAUGUAGAAAUCUUGGUGGAACUUCCUGACAUUGAGGUGGGAAAUUAUCUCAAGCAAAGUGUUUAUAAGUAGCAUGUACAGAGCUGAGUAAAUGAGAAAAAUGUGUUUCUGUAAACUCCAGCAGAAAGCACUUUUAGGUAAAUCAGUUCCAACGCAACAGAAAAGAGGCGACAGCUGAGACCACAGCAAGUAACAGGUACUUUAUAAUGAAAAAUACUAAAUUUGCUUUUUAAAUAAAUCUGAUUUGAAAACAAAGCCCAGCCCAUAAAGGAAUGGCCACAUGCUUUACCUACUAGUCUAAUUCAACUUUCUAACAACUCUCUGUUGCUUUAUCUGUGAGUACAGUGUGUAGUUGUGACCUGUGCUCUGUAACAUUUACAGUGCAGAGUCUACAAAUACACCCCCAAGCCUUCGAGGGGCUGAGCCUGCUACCCCUCCAGUACAGCCACGUGUCCUGAGCAGCAAACUGGGCUUGUUUUGAACAGGUUGCCCGUGCCUCUCUGCUCCAGUGUGGGGAACAGGUGUGCUGUUUUCACUGGGAUUUACCAUCCUGCCAGCUGCAUAUGCAAAACACAUCAUUUGCCUAAUGGUGGCCUUUGUCAGGGAACUGUCCCACCACACCCAGGAACUCCUGUUCAGAGUCUGUGUCUGCCCUCAGGGGCAUUCCCUGUGUGUUUUGCUGUACCAGGGAGUUGAGGAAACACGGGUUGGUGUCACUGAGGGCAUGGUCACUGCCCUUGCAUGGCCGACACCAGCCCACAGUAACUGUGCCCAUCAGUAACUCACAUUUCUGCUCUUUGCAGCCUCUCCAGAGCCCUGCCCAGCACAACCACAGCGAGGCAUCCGUGCUCCUGGGGCACCUGCAGUCAGGACCCCUGCACAGUCAGGCACAGAUCACUUCAGGACUGGCUGAAGAACAGGAGUUAGUCAAGAAAAGCUGAAGUCCACAGAGGGAUGGCAUCCUGCUCUUCUGAGGGAAAAGUGAGUCCUCAAUGUGUUCCCAGCCCUUCUCACUGGCAGACUGAACCUUUUCUGGGUGCAGAGUAGCAGAAAGUAAAGCAGGUGGAGUGGCUGUAAACUCCUUCAAACAGCUCUGAUGGCCCAGAGGUUUCUUUCAGUCCUGAAAGAAACAAGCAGCUAGUUAGAAACAAACUUAGUUCUGUUUUAAAACAAAACUACCUGUUAUAAAGCAUCUUACUUGUUUUCUCCAGCAGCCUGAGUGUCUGAGGGAACCAGUGAGCCCUUCUUCUGUACCAAACUCUUUAUUUUUUAACUUUUUUAUUACUGUUUAAUUGCUUGACAUUUCACUAGGUUGCAAUGCAACUUGGUGAGUUUUAGGCAUCAGUAAUAAAACUCUGCUGUUUGCCAAUGACCUCUGCCUUUUACUUACUUAAUCCCACUGCAGGUAACAUACACCAGGUGUGUUACCCUUUGACUGUCUCUUGGUUGUAUCCCCCCAAACCACGCUGUUAACCCCCAUGUCCAUGUGCUGCUGUGUCAUUGCACCUGCAGGCACCAGAACACCUGGUUGGGGACCAGCACCUUGACAUUUCUCCAGCCUUGGACUUUAUUUUGAGUCUGGUGUAAGCAGACUCAGCACCACGAGCCUGUGCCCUGUAACAGAAAUAGCUUCUGCAGCCCUAUUUUCUGUUUGCACUCUGAAUCACUGCUUAAAGUGUCACCACUUUUCUGCAUUCCUGGGUUAGCCACGGCCCUGGCUCAAGCUGAGUUUCAGGGAUGUGGUGUUUAGUAUGUUUUAGUAAUAGCUUGGAGUCAUUAAUGCUGCUGAUUCAAAGGAGCACUGCCCACCCAAAACCCUCCUCACCUGAGAGCACAGCAGGGACACAUCCCUCCCACCUGCCCAGUACAGCAACACCCUCGGGACUGGUGUUAGAGCAACGCUGCUGCUUUUGUUCAAGAGUUGAAUUACCAUGAGAGCCUCUCUCAGCUACCAGUUUGGCCAAUACUUGCUUUGGAGUUAAACUGAACACUUGGGGAUUGCUGGGAGGGAACAGCCCCUCUCCAGGUUGAACGGGCAGGAUUAAGACAUUUGCAGGAACAGCUUGAUUAGCAGAGAGGAGAGGAAGGAGAACCCAAAGGAUGUAUUUUUCAGGAAGGUGAAUAACCACGUUACUUUUUAGUGAUGAUGGCUGUCACUCCAGGGGACUGACUGCCCGAUAACUUCUCGUGCUUCAGUCUGAAGAGCUCCUGAGAAAACCAACAGAAAACAUUCACAGGAAAUAAUGUUUUCUGAAGCAUCAGUUCAAUAAAGUUGCUACAAAAUAUUUGCAGAAAUUCCUCCCAGAGAACAGUCUGUCCUUCCAGAAGGCUGGCAGAGGAUUCAGUUAGAACAAAUCCUAACCCUGAUUCCUGAGCCAGGAGAGGACAAGUGACUACCCAGUGAGCUUCCACCUACACAGGACAUGGAGGUUUUAAUACACAACCUCUUAAAAGAGAAACAACUUGUAUUAUUUUACCUCUUGCUGUUGUUUAAUAAAGGCCUCUUUGUCCUCCAGCAUUGAUGUCAGUUCGUGCAGCCUCAUUUGCAGGUCACUGUUGCUCCCCUCCCUCCUGGAGAUGUCCUGCUGGAACUGGCAUAACUGGGACUGCAAAACAGGCAGGGAGCAGAGCAGUCAGGAGCGUGUGCUCCAGGCAGGAAGGGUGUAUUUUUUCAUUACCAGCAUGAACAGUAAGACCCAGUGAUUUCCAAUCAGAAAGCUGAGCAGCACAGUAAAUUCAGCAAGUGCUGAUUGGACUGAAUUCAACCCAGUAUCAGUUUAAUAGUUUAAUAACUCAGUCUUUUGACUAAUUUCUUACCUUAUCAGGACGCACAAGAUAACCCUUUAGGAAAGCCUGCUACUUGGACUGAUCCCUAAUUUCUACAUCUAACGAAUGUUGGGGUUUUUUUUAAUCACAGUUUUAUGUUCUACAGAAGGGUUUCUGAGCCAUCA